GCCGGUGUGGCGGAAUAGGCAGACGCAAGGGACUUAAAAUCCCUCGGGGGCAACCUCGUACCGGUUCAAGUCCGGUCACCGGCA
Molecule: transfer RNA, 84 nt
Filed under: Clostridiales bacterium AF36-10
Lineage: Bacteria; Bacillati; Bacillota; Clostridia; Eubacteriales
Also listed under: 3 other names
Description: tRNA-Leu
Rfam family: tRNA
About the family: Transfer RNA (tRNA) molecules are approximately 80 nucleotides in length.
Source: RNAcentral